AAAAACUCCGGUGGUAUGGGAUGGGCCCGCGUCUGAUUAGCUAGUUGGCGGGGUAACGGCCCACCAAGGCGACGAUCAGUAGCCGACCUGAGAGGGUGGCCGGCCACAUUGGGACUGAGACACGGCCCAAACUCCUACGGGAGGCAGCAGUGGGGAAUAUUGCGCAAUGGGGGAAACCCUGACGCAGCAACGCCGCGUGAGUGAAGAAGUAUCUCGGUAUGUAAAGCUCUAUCAGCGGGGAAGAAGGAAGACGGUACCCGACUAAGAAGCCCCGGCUAACUACGUGCCAGCAGCCGCGGUAAUACGUAGGGGGCGAGCGUUAUCCGGAUUUACUGGGUGUAAAGGGAGCGUAGACGGCGUCGCAAGUCUGAAGUGAAAGCCCGUGGCUCAACCGCGGAACCGCUUUGGAAACUGCGAGGCUGGAGUGCUGGAGAGGUAAGCGGAAUUCCUGGUGUAGCGGUGAAAUGCGUAGAUAUCAGGAGGAACACCGGUGGCGAAGGCGGCUUACUGGACAGUGACUGACGUUGAGGCUCGAAAGCGUGGGGAGCGAACAGGAUUAGAUACCCUGGUAGUCCACGCGGUAAACGAUGAGUGCUAGGUGUCGG
Molecule: ribosomal RNA, 605 nt
Filed under: uncultured bacterium
Lineage: Bacteria
Description: bacterial SSU rRNA
Rfam family: Bacterial small subunit ribosomal RNA
Source: RNAcentral